AUGUAAUGAUGAGUUCAUAUGCUACAGAAAUUUCAUGUUGAAUAUCUUCUGAGCUUUUUAACUCUGAUCAUA
This 72-nucleotide small nucleolar RNA is filed under the name Stegodyphus mimosarum. The record is from RNAcentral. Lineage: Eukaryota; Metazoa; Arthropoda; Arachnida; Araneae; Eresidae.